RNAcentral lists this ribosomal RNA (472 nucleotides) under Actinomyces sp. oral taxon 448. RNAcentral's name for it is "bacterial SSU rRNA". It matches the Rfam family "Bacterial small subunit ribosomal RNA", at positions 28 to 480 of the family's 1533-position model. Lineage: Bacteria; Bacillati; Actinomycetota; Actinomycetes; Actinomycetales; Actinomycetaceae. The record is from RNAcentral.
GACGAACGCUGGCGGCGUGCUUAACACAUGCAAGUCGAACGGGCCUGCCUGGCUUUGGUUGGGUGGGUGAGUGGCGAACGGGUGAGUAACACGUGAGUAACCUGCCCUCUUCUCUUGGAUAACUGCUUGAAAGGGCGGCUAAUACGGGAUGUUCUGGCUGCCUCGCAUGGGGUGGUUUGGAAAGAUUCGGCCUGGUUUUGGUUGUUUUGGUGGGGGAUGGGCUCGCGGCUUAUCAGCUUGUUGGUGGGGUGAUGGCCUACCAAGGCGGUGACGGGUAGCCGGCCUGAGAGGGUGGACGGUCACACUGGGACUGAGACACGGCCCAGACUCCUCGGGAGGCAGCAGUGGGGGAUUUUGCACAAUGGGCGCAAGCCUGAUGCAGCGACGCCGCGUGAGGGAUGGAGGCCUUCGGGUUGUGAACCUCUGUCGCCGGUGAUGUAGGCUCUGCUUUGUGGGUGGGGUGACGGUAGCC